GACGAACGCUGGCGGCGUGCUUAACACAUGCAAGUCGAACGGAAAGGCCCUGCUCUUGUGGGGUGCUCGAGUGGCGAACGGGUGAGUAACACGCGAGUAAACUGUCCUUGACUUUGGGAUAACUUCAGGAAAAUGGGGCGAAUACCGGAUAGGAGCUUCUGCAGCAUGGGGGGGGUUGGAAAGAUUCGGCGGUUGGGGAUGGACUCGCGGCUUAUCAGCUUGUUGGUGGGGUAGUGGCUUACCAAGGCUUCGAAGGGUAGCCGGCCUGAGAGGGUGACCGGCCACAUUGGGCCUGAGGUACGGCCCAGACUCCUACGGGCGGCAGCAGUGGGGAAUAUUGCGCAAUGGGCGGGAGCCUGAUGCGGCAACGCCGCGUGCGGGAUGACGGCCUUCGGGUUGUAAACCGCUUUCGCCUGUGCCGAAGCGUGAGUGACGGUAAUGGGUAAAGAAGCACCGGCUAACUACGUG
This 468-nucleotide ribosomal RNA is filed under the name uncultured bacterium. RNAcentral describes it as "partial 16S ribosomal RNA". It matches the Rfam family "Bacterial small subunit ribosomal RNA", at positions 28 to 507 of the family's 1533-position model. The record is from RNAcentral.